RNAcentral lists this ribosomal RNA (253 nucleotides) under uncultured bacterium. RNAcentral's name for it is "partial 16S ribosomal RNA". It matches the Rfam family "Bacterial small subunit ribosomal RNA", at positions 524 to 776 of the family's 1533-position model. The record is from RNAcentral.
UACGAAGGGGGCUAGCGUUGUUCGGAAUUACUGGGCGUAAAGCGCACGUAGGCGGCUUUGCAAGUUAGAGGUGAAAGCCCGGGGCUCAACUCCGGAAUUGCCUUUAAAACUGCAUCGCUAGAGUUGUGGAGAGGUAAGUGGAAUUCCGAGUGUAGAGGUGAAAUUCGUAGAUAUUCGGAAGAACACCAGUGGCGAAGGCGACUUACUGGACACAUACUGACGCUGAGGUGCGAAAGCGUGGGGAGCAAACAGG